Long non-coding RNA from Spodoptera frugiperda (fall armyworm), 508 nucleotides. RefSeq lists it as uncharacterized. The transcript is spliced from 3 exons. NCBI's taxonomy places the organism in Eukaryota, Metazoa, Arthropoda, Insecta, Lepidoptera, Noctuidae. The record is from RefSeq and is a predicted model, not a curated record.
AAUACUUUAUCGAUAACACUGCUGUAGCUACACGGUACAACAUUAUCUGGUAUACAGGCAACACAACCCUGGGUCCCUAUAAAACAGACGCCGUCUCGCGCAAUUCUAACCAGUCUCAUUAGGCACUGCCCGCGGUAUAGACAUAUUUGGCAAAAUUAAUCGUAAUACUGAUUGUUGUUUGUGGUAAAAUAUUGCUAACGCCGAGGUAUCGAGUUCAGCGAAGGUGGGAGAUUACACAGUUCCUGUGGUGCGUCACCAAGAUGGCUGCCACAGUAGCAACGGGCCGGUGUAGCGAUUAUACUACAUUUGACGUGAUGGCAGUUGACGUGAGGAUAGUCGACAACUCGAGACUGCAAAAAAAAACCGGCGGCACCAGAUCGAGUGGAGUUAUUGUAGAUUAUUUAAAGAGUUUCUUGAUAGCGGGUUACAGCCACAAAAAUGCCAGAAAAUUAAGUAAACAAUUUGAAUGAAUAACAAUACGCUUUUAUUUACUGCUUUCAUGAGUCAA